Molecule: ribosomal RNA, 235 nt
Filed under: uncultured bacterium
Lineage: Bacteria
Description: partial 16S ribosomal RNA
Rfam family: Bacterial small subunit ribosomal RNA
Source: RNAcentral
CGGCGGACGGGUGAGUAACGCGUAGGAAUCUACCUGGUAGUGGGGGACAACAUGGGGAAACCCAUGCUAAUACCGCAUACGCCCCAAGGGGGAAAGCGGGGGACCUUCGGGCCUCGCGCUAUCAGAUGAGCCUGCGUAGGAUUAGCUUGUUGGUGAGGUAAAGGCUCACCAAGGCGACGAUCCUUAGCUGGUCUGAGAGGAUGAUCAGCCACACUGGAACUGAGACACGGUCCAG